RNAcentral lists this ribosomal RNA (274 nucleotides) under uncultured bacterium. RNAcentral describes it as "partial 16S ribosomal RNA". It matches the Rfam family "Bacterial small subunit ribosomal RNA", at positions 523 to 796 of the family's 1533-position model. The record is from RNAcentral.
AUACGGAGGUGGCGAGCGUUGCCGGGAAUCACUGGGCGUAAAGGGGGCGUAGGCGGCCAGGCAAGUCGGAGGUUAAAGCCCGGGGCUCAACCCCGGAAAGGCCUCCGAUACUGCUUGGCUUGAGGGCCGGAGAGGCCGGCGGAAUUCCCGGUGUAGGGGUGAAAUCCGUAGAUAUCGGGAGGAACACCAGUGGGGAAGCCGGCCGGCUGGACGGUCCCUGACGCUGAGGCCCGAAAGCGUGGGGAGCAAACCGGAUUAGAAACCCUAGUAGUCC